Molecule: long non-coding RNA, 494 nt
Filed under: Solanum tuberosum (potato)
Lineage: Eukaryota; Viridiplantae; Streptophyta; Magnoliopsida; Solanales; Solanaceae
Description: long non-coding RNA (STUB_LNC010941)
Source: RNAcentral
GAACAGUAGGGUAAUUUGGGAAACCUGGAGGGACAUCAGGGUAAUUGAGAAAACCAGGAGGAGCAUCAGGGUAAUUCUCCACUUGUUUCAGUUGACAUUCAGUUAGUAGACCAGGAAGACCAGGAUAAGGUUGAGAAGUUAAUCCUUCUUUUUCUCUCUGGUUUUGCUAGAGCCAUUGAAUUUCUUUACAGCUCUGUUUGUAUUAUGUGGAGAUCUUUUUUUUUUUGAGAAGGUAACGAUUUGUAUUAUAAACCAGUACUUAUGUAGUACUGAAAGCCCCUUACAAAAACGUAUGAAAAUCUAGGAACAAAAACAGCAAGCCUAGCAUAUGAUUCUAAUACUUCUAGGAUUGCUUCUGCAUCUACAGGGGAACUCUUUGUACACCAAAAACAUAAUAACAGAAUACAAUCUGUUUUGAUCAUUUGUAGGGAUCUGCUUCUAUCCUCAAAGCUUCUAGCAUUCCUUUCUCUCCAAAUGGUCCACCAGAUGCAUGC